Molecule: ribosomal RNA, 681 nt
Filed under: uncultured Lachnospiraceae bacterium
Lineage: Bacteria; Bacillati; Bacillota; Clostridia; Lachnospirales; Lachnospiraceae
Description: bacterial SSU rRNA
Rfam family: Bacterial small subunit ribosomal RNA
Source: RNAcentral
CCUAACACAUGCAAGUCGAACGAGCGAGAGAGAGCUUGCUUUCUCGAGCGAGUGGCGAACGGGUGAGUAACGCGUGAGGAACCUGCCUCAAAGAGGGGGACAACAGUUGGAAACGACUGCUAAUACCGCAUAAGCCCACGACCCGGCAUCGGGUAGAGGGAAAAGGAUUUAUUCGCUUCAGGAUGGACUCGCGUCCAAUUAGCUAGUUGGUGAGGUAACGGCCCACCAAGGCGACGAUUGGUAGCCGGACUGAGAGGUUGAACGGCCACAUUGGGACUGAGACACGGCCCAGACUCCUACGGGAGGCAGCAGUGGGGGAUAUUGCACAAUGGGGGAAACCCUGAUGCAGCGACGCCGCGUGGAGGAAGAAGGUUUUCGGAUUGUAAACCCCUGUCGUUAGGGACGAUAAUGACGGUACCUAACAAGAAAGCACCGGCUAACUACGUGCCAGCAGCCGCGGUAAAACGUAGGGUGCAAGCGUUGUCCGGAAUUACUGGGUGUAAAGGGAGCGCAGGCGGACCGGCAAGUUGGAAGUGAAAACUAUGGGCUCAACCCAUAAAUUGCUUUCAAAACUGCUGGCCUUGAGUAGUGCAGAGGUAGGUGGAAUUCCCGGUGUAGCGGUGGAAUGCGUAGAUAUCGGGAGGAACACCAGUGGCGAAGGCGACCUACUGGGCACCAACU